ACUGAUCAAGGAUGACUUGUUUGAUUAGUGACUGCUGGGUGACACUUGCGGAUAUGGGACUGAGAUCAGAA
Small nucleolar RNA from Electrophorus electricus (electric eel), 71 nucleotides. NCBI's taxonomy places the organism in Eukaryota, Metazoa, Chordata, Actinopteri, Gymnotiformes, Gymnotidae. The record is from Ensembl.